RNAcentral lists this ribosomal RNA (220 nucleotides) under Oxyrrhis marina. RNAcentral describes it as "partial Eukaryotic large subunit ribosomal RNA". It matches the Rfam family "Eukaryotic large subunit ribosomal RNA", at positions 172 to 385 of the family's 3401-position model. The record is from RNAcentral. Lineage: Eukaryota; Dinophyceae; Oxyrrhinales; Oxyrrhinaceae.
AUAAUGCGUUCAAGUCCAUCUUGAAUGGGGCCAUUUUACCCAUAGAGGGUGCCAGGCCCGUACCAACUGCUACCAGUAUAAGAAGGCUAUUCCAAAGAGUCGUGUUGCUUGAUAGUGCAGCACUAAGUGGGUGGUAAACUCCAUCUAAGGCUAAAUACCGGCACGAGACCGAUAGUCGACAAGUACCUUAAGGGAAAGUUGAAAAGAACUUUGAAGAGAG